This 254-nucleotide ribosomal RNA is filed under the name uncultured bacterium. RNAcentral's name for it is "partial 16S ribosomal RNA". It matches the Rfam family "Bacterial small subunit ribosomal RNA", at positions 524 to 776 of the family's 1533-position model. The record is from RNAcentral.
UACAGAGGUCCCAAGCGUUACUGAGAAUCACUGGGUUUAAAGGGUGCGUAGGUGGUCCGUUAAGUCAGUUGUGAAAUCCCCGGGCCUCAACCCGGGAAAUGCUUCUGAUACUGGCGGACUUGAGGCCAGUAGGGGUCACUAGAACUGACGGUGGAGCGGUGAAAUGCGUAGAUAUCGUCAGGAAUGCCGGUGGUGAAGACGGGUGACUGGGCUGGUUCUGACACUGAGGCACGAAAGCGUGGGGAGCGAACGGG